CGUAUAUUUAAGUUGUUGCAGUUAAAAAGCUCGUAGUUGGAUUUCGGGUGGGUCGACGCGGUCUGCCUCUGGUAUGUACUGCGCUCGGUUCACCUUUCUGCUGGGGACGGGCUCCUGGGCUUAACUGCUUGGGACCUGGAAUCAGCGAAGUGACCUUGAGCAAACAAGAGUGUUCAAAGCAAGCCGACGCUCUGAAUUUUUUAGCAUGGAAUCACACGAUAGGACUCUGGCCUAUCUUGUUGGUCUGUAGGACCGGAGUAAUGAUUAAGAGGGACAGUCGGGGG
RNAcentral lists this ribosomal RNA (284 nucleotides) under Chlorococcum sp. M-018. RNAcentral describes it as "partial small subunit ribosomal RNA". It matches the Rfam family "Eukaryotic small subunit ribosomal RNA", at positions 598 to 888 of the family's 1831-position model. The record is from RNAcentral. Lineage: Eukaryota; Viridiplantae; Chlorophyta; Chlorophyceae; Chlamydomonadales; Chlorococcaceae.